RNAcentral lists this ribosomal RNA (253 nucleotides) under uncultured bacterium. Its description in RNAcentral is "partial 16S ribosomal RNA". It matches the Rfam family "Bacterial small subunit ribosomal RNA", at positions 524 to 776 of the family's 1533-position model. The record is from RNAcentral.
UACGGAGGGGGCUAGCGUUAUUCGGAAUUAUUGGGCGUAAAGGGCGCGUAGGCGGCCCGGUAAGUCAAAGGUGAAAUCCCUCGGCUCAACUGAGGAACUGCCUUUGAAACUGUCGGGCUUGAGGCCGGGAGGGGGUAGCGGAAUUCCCAGUGUAGCGGUGAAAUGCGUAGAUAUCAGGAGGAACACCGGUGACGAAGGCGGGUCUCUGGGCCGAUACUGACGCUGAGGAGCGAAAGCGUGGGGAGCGAACAGG